This 315-nucleotide ribosomal RNA is filed under the name Erimyzon sucetta (lake chubsucker). Its description in RNAcentral is "partial 16S ribosomal RNA". It matches the Rfam family "Bacterial large subunit ribosomal RNA", at positions 2176 to 2569 of the family's 2925-position model. The record is from RNAcentral. Lineage: Eukaryota; Metazoa; Chordata; Actinopteri; Cypriniformes; Catostomidae.
AGGUGCAGACCCAAUCGCGUCAAACAACUUGUUAAAGAGCAAAAACUUAGCGCAACCUGGAGUCUUACCUUCGGUUGGGGCGACCACGGAGGAAAAAGCAGCCUCCGCGAGGACCGGGAAUAUAUCCUGAAGUUGAGAGGGACACCUCUAAACCACAGUACAUCUGACCAAUUAUGAUCCGGACAGAAAGUCCGAUCAACGAACCAAGUUACCCUAGGGAUAACAGCGCAAUCCUCUCCCAGAGUCCAUAUCGACGAGGGGGUUUACGACCUCGAUGUUGGAUCAGGACAUCCUAAUGGUGCAGCCGCUAUUAAG